UUUCCGUAGGUGAACCUGCGGAAGGAUCAUUAUUGUAUAACCGAGGUGCGAGGGCUGUCGCUGACCCGAAAGGUCGUGCACGCCCGAGUGCCCUCACACACAUCCAUCUCACCCCUAUGUGCACCACCGCGUGGGUCCCCCUUUGGCUUGUUCGGAGGGGGGCUUACGUUUUCACACAAACUUUGUAUGCAGUGUAGAAUGUAUUUUUUGUUUUUGCGAUCACGCAAUCAAUACAACUUUCAACAACGGAUCUCUUGGCUCUCGCAUCGAUGAAGAGCAGC
RNAcentral lists this unclassified non-coding RNA (281 nucleotides) under plant metagenome. Its description in RNAcentral is "partial contains small subunit ribosomal RNA, internal transcribed spacer 1, and 5.8S ribosomal RNA". The stretch from base 235 to 281 matches the Rfam family "5.8S ribosomal RNA", at positions 1 to 47 of the family's 154-position model. The record is from RNAcentral.